UNCUAUGUAAAGUAGCCUCAAAUGUUUUC
This 29-nucleotide non-coding RNA is filed under the name Mus musculus (house mouse). Lineage: Eukaryota; Metazoa; Chordata; Mammalia; Rodentia; Muridae. The record is from RNAcentral.